Molecule: ribosomal RNA, 497 nt
Filed under: uncultured bacterium
Lineage: Bacteria
Description: partial 16S ribosomal RNA
Rfam family: Bacterial small subunit ribosomal RNA
Source: RNAcentral
GAUGAACGCUGGCGGCGUGCCUAAUACAUGCAAGUCGAGCGAACGGACGAGAAGCUUGCUUCUCUGAUGUUAGCGGCGGACGGGUGAGUAACACGUGGAUAACCUACCUAUAAGACUGGGAUAACUUCGGGAAACCGGAGCUAAUACCGGAUAAUAUUUUGAACCGCAUGGUUCAAAAGUGAAAGACGGUCUUGCUGUCACUUAUAGAUGGAUCCGCGCUGCAUUAGCUAGUUGGUAAGGUAACGGCUUACCAAGGCAACGAUGCAUAGCCGACCUGAGAGGGUGAUAGGCCACACUGGAACUGAGACACGGUCCAGACUCCUACGGGAGGCAGCAGUAGGGAAUCUUCCGCAAUGGGCGAAAGCCUGACGGAGCAACGCCGCGUGAGUGAUGAAGGUCUUCGGAUCGUAAAACUCUGUUAUUAUGGAAGAACAUAUGUGUAAGUAACUGUGCACAUCUUGACGGUACCUAAUCAGAAAGCCACGGCUAACUACGUG